This 500-nucleotide ribosomal RNA is filed under the name uncultured bacterium. Its description in RNAcentral is "partial 16S ribosomal RNA". It matches the Rfam family "Bacterial small subunit ribosomal RNA", at positions 30 to 523 of the family's 1533-position model. The record is from RNAcentral.
AUUGAACGCUGGCGGAAUGCUUUACACAUGCAAGUCGAACGGCAGCACGGACUUCGGUCUGGUGGCGAGUGGCGAACGGGUGAGUAAUGUAUCGGAACGUGCCCAGUCGUGGGGGAUAACGUAGUGAAAAUUACGCUAAUACCGCAUACGAUCUAUGGAUGAAAGCGGGGGAUCGCAAGACCUCGCGCGAUUGGAGCGGCCGAUAUCAGAUUAGGUAGUUGGUGGGGUAAAGGCCCACCAAGCCAACGAUCUGUAGCUGGUCUGAGAGGACGACCAGCCACACUGGAACUGAGACACGGUCCAGACUACUACGGGAGGCAGCAGUGGGGAAUUUUGGACAAUGGGCGAAAGCCUGAUCCAGCCAUUCCGCGUGCAGGAUGAAGGCCCUCGGGUUGUAAACUGCCUUUGUACAGAACGAAAAGGUUUCUACUAAUACUAGGAGCUCAUGACGGUACUGUAAGAAUAAGCACCGGCUAACUACGUGCCAGCAGCCGCCGUAA